Vault RNA from Callithrix jacchus (white-tufted-ear marmoset), 92 nucleotides. Its record names the gene Vault. It matches the Rfam family "Vault RNA". From Rfam's summary of the family: This family of RNAs are found as part of the enigmatic vault ribonucleoprotein complex. The complex consists of a major vault protein (MVP), two minor vault proteins (VPARP and TEP1), and several small untranslated RNA molecules. It has been suggested that the vault complex is involved in drug resistance. Lineage: Eukaryota; Metazoa; Chordata; Mammalia; Primates; Cebidae. The record is from Ensembl.
GGGCCGGCUUUAGCUCAGCAGUUACUUCGACAGUGCUUUCUAUACAACCACUCUGUGUGGUUCGAGACCCGUGGGCUCUCCCCGGUCUUUAA